AGGACGAACGCUGGCGGCGUGCUUAACACAUGCAAGUGGAGCGACGAACCAGGGCUUGCCCUGGGGCAGAGCCGCGAACGGGUGAGUAACACGUGGGUUACCUGCCUCGAUGACCGGGACAACCCGAGGAAACUCGGGCUAAUACCGGAUGUGCCCGCAAGGGGAAAGGAAGCUUCGGCCUCCGCAUCGAGAUGGGCCCGCGGCCCAUUAGCUUGUUGGUGAGGUAACGGCUCACCAAGGCUUCGAUGGGUAGCUGGUCUGAGAGGACGAUCAGCCACACUGGGACUGAGACACGGCCCAGACUCCUACGGGAGGCAGCAGUGGGGAAUCUUGCGCAAUGCACGAAAGCGUGACGCAGCAACGCCGCGUGGGGGAAGAAGGCUUUCGGGUGUAAACCCUUUCAGUUGGGACGAAGCUCCGUCGGUGAAUAGCCGGCUGGAGUGACGGUACCUUCACAAGAAGCACCGGCUAACUACGUGCCAGCAGCCGC
This 490-nucleotide ribosomal RNA is filed under the name uncultured bacterium. RNAcentral describes it as "SSU rRNA". It matches the Rfam family "Bacterial small subunit ribosomal RNA", at positions 26 to 518 of the family's 1533-position model. The record is from RNAcentral.